GAUCAUGGCUCAGGAUGAACGCUAGCUACAGGCUUAACACAUGCAAGUCGAGGGGCAGCAUCAUCAAAGCUUGCUUUGAUGGAUGGCGACCGGCGCACGGGUGAGUAACACGUAUCCAACCUGCCGACAACACUGGGAUAGCCUUUCGAAAGAAAGAUUAAUACCUGAUGGUAUAGUUUUCCCGCAUGGGAUAAUUAUUAAAGAAUUUCGGUUGUCGAUGGGGAUGCGUUCCA
This 233-nucleotide ribosomal RNA is filed under the name uncultured bacterium. RNAcentral's name for it is "partial 16S ribosomal RNA". It matches the Rfam family "Bacterial small subunit ribosomal RNA", at positions 15 to 240 of the family's 1533-position model. The record is from RNAcentral.